Molecule: transfer RNA, 75 nt
Filed under: Elusimicrobiota bacterium
Lineage: Bacteria; Pseudomonadati; Elusimicrobiota
Description: Elusimicrobia bacterium tRNA-Asp
Rfam family: tRNA
About the family: Transfer RNA (tRNA) molecules are approximately 80 nucleotides in length. Their secondary structure includes four short double-helical elements and three loops (D, anti-codon, and T loops). Further hydrogen bonds mediate the characteristic L-shaped molecular structure. tRNAs have two regions of fundamental functional importance: the anti-codon, which is responsible for specific mRNA codon recognition, and the 3' end, to which the tRNAs corresponding amino acid is attached (by aminoacyl-tRNA synthetases). tRNAs cope with the degeneracy of the genetic code in two manners: having more than one tRNA (with a specific anti-codon) for a particular amino acid; and 'wobble' base-pairing, i.e. permitting non-standard base-pairing at the 3rd anti-codon position.
Source: RNAcentral
GGCGCCGAAGCUGAAGGGCGAAGCACCGGCCCGUCACGCCGGAAAGAGUGGGUUCGAGUCCCAUCGGCGCCGCCA